RNAcentral lists this non-coding RNA (265 nucleotides) under Fictibacillus phosphorivorans. RNAcentral's name for it is "T-box sequence". It matches the Rfam family "T-box leader". Rfam says of the family: Uncharged tRNA acts as the effector for transcription antitermination of genes in the T-box leader family. T-boxes are found upstream of many aminoacyl-tRNA synthetase genes and some amino acid biosynthetic genes usually in Gram-positive bacteria. The record is from RNAcentral. Lineage: Bacteria; Bacillati; Bacillota; Bacilli; Caryophanales; Fictibacillaceae.
AAUAAAACGAUGACGGAGAACAAUGGUAGAUGUGGGAUAAACAGAGAGCCGGUGGUCGCUGUGAACCGGUUAUUCCUAAUACCAGGACAUCCCUCCUGAGUGUCCUUUUGAACGUUUCUUAGUAGGAAGGGCCAAGCGAUAACACCAUUUUUUAUCGCUUGUUAUCAAUAUGACGACUCGUUCGUCUUGAGGCAGUCCUUGCGUGUGUCAGCAAGCACUGUGAAUAAGGGUGGUACCGUGGAAAAUAAACUUUUUCACCCCUUUG